UGGCGGCUGCCCUAAUAAUGCAGUCGAGCGGACAGAUGGGAGCUUGCUCCCUGAUGUUAGCGGCGGACGGGUGAGUAACACGUGGGUAACCUGCCUGUAAGACUGGGAUAACUCCGGGAAACCGGGGCUAAUACCGGAUGGUUGUUUGAACCGCAUGGUUCAAACAUAAAAGGUGGCUUCGGCUACCACUUACAGAUGGACCCGCGGCGCAUUAGCUAGUUGGUGAGGUAAUGGCUCACCCAUUGACGAUGCGAGCCGACCUGGUAGGGUGAUCGGCCACACUGGGACUGAGACCGGCCCAGACUCCUACGGGAGGCAGCAGUAGGGAAUCUUCCGCAAUGGACGAGAGUCUGACGGAGAACCGCCGCGGGAGUCAUUAAGGUUUUCGGAUCGUAAAGCUCUGAUGUUAGGGAACAACAACUACCGUUCGAAUAGGGCGGUACCUUGACGGUACCUAACCAGAAAGCCACGGCUAACUACGUGGCAGCAGCCGCGGUAAUACGUAGGUGGCAAGCGUUGUCCGGAAUUAUUGGGCGUAAAGGGCUCGCAGGCGGUUUCUUAAGUCUGAUGUGAAAGCCCCCGGCUCAACCGGGGAGGGUCAUUGGAAACUGGGGAACUUGAGUGCAGAAGAGGAGAG
Molecule: ribosomal RNA, 637 nt
Filed under: Bacillus tequilensis
Lineage: Bacteria; Bacillati; Bacillota; Bacilli; Caryophanales; Bacillaceae
Description: bacterial SSU rRNA
Rfam family: Bacterial small subunit ribosomal RNA
Source: RNAcentral